This 434-nucleotide ribosomal RNA is filed under the name uncultured bacterium. RNAcentral describes it as "partial 16S ribosomal RNA". It matches the Rfam family "Bacterial small subunit ribosomal RNA", at positions 29 to 508 of the family's 1533-position model. The record is from RNAcentral.
AGCGAACGCUGGCGGCAGACUUAACACAUGCAAGUCGAGCGGGCCCUUCGGGGUCAGCGGCAGACGGGUGAGUAACACGUGGGAACGUACCCUUUGGUUCGGAAUAACGCUGGGAAACUAGCGCUAAUACCGGAUACGCCCUUUUGGGGAAAGGCUUGCUGCCGAAGGAUCGGCCCGCGUCUGAUUAGCUAGUUGGUGGGGUAAUGGCCUACCAAGGCGACGAUCAGUAGCUGGUCUGAGAGGAUGAUCAGCCACACUGGGACUGAGACACGGCCCAGACUCCUACGGGAGGCAGCAGUGGGGAAUAUUGGACAAUGGGCGCAAGCCUGAUCCAGCCAUGCCGCGUGAGUGAUGAAGGCCUUAGGGUUGUAAAGCUCUUUUGUCCGGGACGAUAAUGACGGUACCGGAAGAAUAAGCCCCGGCUAACUUCGUGC